Long non-coding RNA from Gadus macrocephalus (Pacific cod), 2548 nucleotides. RefSeq lists it as uncharacterized. Lineage: Eukaryota; Metazoa; Chordata; Actinopteri; Gadiformes; Gadidae. The transcript has 2 exons. The record is from RefSeq and is a predicted model, not a curated record.
CGGCCCUUGUUGGCUUGAGGUGAUGGUGGCAGACGCAUGCCCAGCUCGCCUCUGUGGCGACUGGUACUUUUUCCAUCUCUGUCUGCACCGUGUGUCCGGACACGUCUCGGGGAUGCAUGGGUGGCCGACGCAUGCACAGCUCGCCUCUCUGGCGACGGGUUCAUGGUCGGUCUCUGUCCGCACCGUUUGUCCGAACGCGGCUCAGGGGUGCAUGGGUGGCAGGCGCGUUCGUGGACUCUUGAAGUGGCAGGAACCGGUUCUUCAGCGCUAAUCCAUAUUUGUCUGAGUUAGCUCAGCAAACUCACCCAUCGGCACUGUAUCCUGGAGGAGUCCUUUGCAUUUUUCUAAUGCUGCUAGGCUCGUUACAAAUAAAGUCACGGUCUGUCGCAGUUUGGUGCAGUCUGUGCAUUUUCAAGUCUCCGUGCCUGAGAUAUCCGAGUACAGAGGCAUGUUGGCGAUAGAAAAGUCCAAGGCUUUUGCUGCAGUCUGAUCCGGGAGUCAUAAAAAAGUGUAAUGUUGAAUCGAGCGAUGGAGGUCGACGGAAACAAACUAUAUAUUAAGUAUUAUCAUAAAAUAUAAUAAAAUAAAGUAGAUCUGAACGAUAAAUUAAGUUGUUUUUCCACUGCCUAGUGGAGCUUCGGGAAACAUGACCUCUCUCUCUGCUGCCUCUCAUCGCCACCAGGUAACGGUCCGACACAGCUUUUGGAGCUGCCUUGGUGGAACUCGGUAUCCAUGAUGUGAAGGAACUCUAGAUCCUCCAUGGAAGGUGCAAGUCUGUGAUCAUCGGCAGUAUGCGUGAAGAUGGAUUUGCCUAAGCCGUCUUUGGCGAACUUUGCUGAGCUGAUGUGAAGGAUGUCUCUACCCAGAAGGAGAAGUACCUAAGCAUCGGGAUCGAGAGGUGGUAUUUCAUCGGCAAUGCAUUUCAGGUGAGUAUGGUGGCAUGCUGCGCCCGGGGAGGGUAUCUCGGAUCUAUUUUCAAGAACUUGGUUGCGUUCGAUAAACGUAGCUAGAGGAAAGCUUCGUUUCUUGGACACUUACUCAAUAGUGUAACCAUAAGCUCUGCUCCCCGCUGUCUCUUUAAGCCCUGAACAUGUCUUGAGGGUGUAUACGUAGUAGCACCCAGAGAUCUUAAAGGCAUCGUAGAACUCUGACCGUGCAAGUGAGCGGUUACUUUGCUCAUCAAGUAUUGCGGUCAUUCUCUUGGACUCCUGUCUGGGUCCAGUGAGGUACACGGUUCUCACAAUUAAUCCUUUGCCACACACUUUUGUGCACCUCGAAGUGACCACCUGAGCCUCUGCUUUGUCCUCCUCGCUAUGCUCUGAAUCGGGAGGGGACGACUUGGACUUCCAUGUUGCUGGUUUGUUACCCUCUUUACUCAGGCUUGUCCACUGAAGAGACUUGGGACUUGUGCACGUAUACAGGCGCCUUCAUAGGCCUCUCCCAGUAGUAAUUUCUCCCUGUUGGAGCUUGUGUGAAGAGGUUAAAGCUUGGGUCUAUACAAGCUUUUGCUUCUUUGUGAAUGAAGUCUACAAACACAGAGAAAGGAUGGAAACUGACUAAGUGGUCACGUUUGUAUCAUGAUCCAAUGUAGAUCCACUUUUCCUGAAUGUUGUGUGGAAGUUUCUUGACUGUUUGACUCUUAUGAAAGGCCGGUGAAGUAGCUAUUUAGCUGCUUCCAGAUCAGACAACAGAUCUGCUAGAUCUCCAAGUCUCCUUGGGUCCUUUCUUAUGAUUUUGGGGAAGCUUUCCAGUUUACCAAAGAAGGCCUGUUCGACGACCCCGGUGAGCAAUAUAGCACGUCGAGCCGCUCCCAUCUCAUGGACAAUCCAGUGGGAGGAUGUCUGAUAUUGACUGAUUUAUUUAUUUGAAGCUUUCUGCAGACUCUCUUCCAAGAUAAUUGGUACGAAGGUCGAGCUGUUCUCCGUCAGACAGGUCCAGGUGGUCAAUAGCACUAUGGAACAACGUUUUCCAUGCCCAGUAGGUCAUCGGGUGUUCAUCAUAUACAUUAAGUUCCAAUUUCACGAGGCGGCUGCGGGCCAGAUAUUGAGCGAGGUCGUUGGAGGUUUGGGAGUGGUCACAUCUAUCUCAACAGGGUGCUCCAGUGACUGAAAUACAGGGGAUGGCAAAUGCUUAUGUAACACUUGUGUUGCUUAGAACUAGAAAAUGAUGCUACUGGGCCAGUCAUAGGUUUGUGGGGAGUGCUGAAAUCAAACAUAGAAAUUAAAGACUGGAGGAAGGGUUUAUAAUAAUAAAUCUGGCAGUUUGCUUAAAUAAGAAACUAUUAAAUAUUAAAUAGAUCAAUAAAUAGAUAGGAAAAUUAAAUUAAAUAAAUAAAUAUUUGCAAUAAAAAAUCUACAAUAAAUAUUCUAUAAACCCUUUUAAGAAUCCCUUUUCCUUUUGAAUGUGUUCAGGUGUUAAAUACUGCUAAAUAUUAAAUAUAUAACAUAUUAAAUUAAUGUUCUAUUGCAUAGAGUUUUUACAACUAUAUGUGUUCUUCUAAAUAAAUAUUAAAUAUGUUAUAUAAAUAUUAAAUAUAUUUAAUUAAAUA